GACGAACGCUGGCGGCGUGCUUAACACAUGCAAGUCGAACGGAAAGGCCCUGCUUUUGUGGGGUGCUCGAGUGGCGAACGGGUGAGCAACACGUGAGUAACCUGCCCUUGACUUUGGGAUAACUUCAGGAAACUGGGGCUAAUACCGGAUAGGAGCUCCUGCUGCAUGGUGGGGGUUGGAAAGUUUCGGCGGUUGGGGAUGGACUCGCGGCUUAUCAGCUUGUUGGUGGGGUAGUGGCUUAUCAAGGCUUUGACGGGUAGCCGGCCUGAGAGGGUGACCGGCCACAUUGGGACUGAGAUACGGCCCAGACUCCUACGGGAGGCAGCAGUGGGGAAUAUUGCACAAUGGGCGGAAGCCUGAUGCAGCAACGCCGCGUGCGGGAUGACGGCCUUCGGGUUGUAAACCGCUUUCGCCUGUGACGAAGCGUGAGUGACGGUAAUGGGUAAAGAAGCACCGGCUAACUACGUG
RNAcentral lists this ribosomal RNA (468 nucleotides) under uncultured bacterium. RNAcentral's name for it is "partial 16S ribosomal RNA". It matches the Rfam family "Bacterial small subunit ribosomal RNA", at positions 28 to 507 of the family's 1533-position model. The record is from RNAcentral.